Molecule: ribosomal RNA, 200 nt
Filed under: uncultured bacterium
Lineage: Bacteria
Description: partial 16S ribosomal RNA
Rfam family: Bacterial small subunit ribosomal RNA
Source: RNAcentral
GAUGAACGCUAGCGGGAGGCCUAACACAUGCAAGCCGAGCGGUAGAGAUUCUUCGGAAUCUUGAGAGCGGCGUACGGGUGCGGAACACGUGUGCAACCUACCUUUAUCAGGGGGAUAGCCUAUCGAAAGGAAGAUUAAUACCCCAUAAUAUAUUUGAUGGCAUCAUUAGAUAUUGAAAACUCCGGUGGAUAGAGAUGGGC